CGAAACCCACUUCAGCGUCUAUCAGUCUGAACAGACUCUGGUGGCGGUUCUUGUCUCUGUAUUCUAGGGUUUAGGGUUUAUGAUUUUUCUUCUGAUUGAAGGGUUUUAGGACCUUGAUUGGUUUAGAUUGACGGUUUAUUCUUUUGUAUUUUCUUGUGAAAGAAUUGAAUUGGAAUUUCAUGCUUUAGGGGGAGAAAAAGUUCUGGGUUUGAAUUGAAAUGAUUUUUAUUUUUGUGAGAUUUGUUCAUGAACUUAUAUUUGUGAGUUGAGAACAGUGCGAUGUUGGGUGAUGCUGAAGUUCUGUCAGACUUACAUGGCGAUGCUUCAUCAGCAUUUCCAUUUAAUGGAUAUGGUGAAGAUUUCCGAAUGAGGAGGAAAAGAUUGACACCUCAUUGGAGGACAUUCAUACGACCUCUCAUGUGGCGUUGUAAAUGGGUAGAAUUACAAAUUAAGAAUUUUGAGUCCCAAGCAUUAAAGUAUGACGGAGAGCUUGCAGAAUUUAAUAGAAGAAAACUGUUUGAGUUAGACAAUUGCUCAUUAGAAGGUUUUGGUGCAAAGUCAUUUCCAUUUUUUUGUCAAAGUCAAAGCAAAGAAGUUAUGAAGAAGAAGAAAAGAAAAAGAAUUGAAGACACAGUGGCCAUAGCAUCAUAUAUGUCACAUCAUAACCUAUUCUCCUAUUUUUUGAUUUUGGCAGAGAAGUCAAUUAAUGUCAAUGAUGAGUUUGGGGUCAAUGAUGAAUUGUUAUCCCAUGAGUUCAGAGACGGUGACAAUUCCUUGGAACAAAUCCUCUUGAAGCUUGGAAUUUUACAGUCACAAAUUAGCAAAAUAAAGUCCCGGCUCCACAAGGUAAUGCUUGAAAAUGUUGGAAAGUUCAUUCCACUGACAAGUUGAGUUUGCUUGUAUCAUGUGAUGCAUUGACCAGCUCUGCUCAAAUUCCUGCCUCUCCUCACAACAAUGUGGAUAGAACACCAAUAUUUCUUCUUAUAUUUCAAGCUUCGAGUAAUGAUCCAUGUUCCUGAUAUAAUUGAAAGCACGGAUCAGCCUUGAGGUUGGAGGUUCAUCCAAAAAAGUAAAGUCUUUCUUCUAGACUGUUUUUAAUCCCGGCUCCACUUAUCUGGGUGUAGAAUUCCGGUGACAACCAUGAUCAUGACUUCUUUGGCGACUCGAUCUUAUGGCUCACGCCUGCUGUGAUUGAACAAACUAGACACCUGACUGCAUUUCCGGGGAUUUGCAGGCUCGUUGGUUCUCAUUCUUCUUUUGGUUAUGCUAAUGACACAGCAAGAAAAGAUUUUUGGUGCAAAAAACUAAUUCUAAUUUGUAUAUUGUGCUAGGUUGUUACAUUGCUACUGUCUUCUUUUGGUUUAGAAGUGUAUUACUAGAGCAAAAGGGCCCAAUGCCUUGUAAAAAAUGUUGGAUAAAUUUUAAUAAAAAAUAAAAUUUGAUUUAA
Molecule: non-coding RNA, 1447 nt
Organism: Camellia sinensis
Lineage: Eukaryota; Viridiplantae; Streptophyta; Magnoliopsida; Ericales; Theaceae
Source: RefSeq, a predicted model, not a curated record